UACGUAGGGACCGAGCGUUGUCCGGAAUCAUUGGGCGUAAAGAGCGUGUAGGCGGCCUGCUAAGUCCUGCGUGAAAUCUCGGGGCUCAACCCCGAGCGGUCGUGGGAAACUGGCAGGCUAGAGUGCGGGAGAGGAGAGUGGAACUCCAGGUGUAGCGGUGAAAUGCGCAGAUAUCAGGAAGAACACCGAUGGCGAAAGCAGCUCUCUGGGACUGUACUGACGCUGAGGCGCGAAAGCGUGGGGAGCGAACAGG
Molecule: ribosomal RNA, 253 nt
Filed under: uncultured bacterium
Lineage: Bacteria
Description: partial 16S ribosomal RNA
Rfam family: Bacterial small subunit ribosomal RNA
Source: RNAcentral